GGCUGGUCCGAGUGCAGUGUGGGGCUUACAACUAAUUGAUCACAACCAGUUACAGAUUCCUUUGUUCCUUCUCCACUCCCACUGCUUCACUAGACCGGUCUUUU
Molecule: unclassified non-coding RNA, 104 nt
Organism: Loxodonta africana (African savanna elephant)
Lineage: Eukaryota; Metazoa; Chordata; Mammalia; Proboscidea; Elephantidae
Rfam family: Y RNA
About the family: Y RNAs are components of the Ro ribonucleoprotein particle (Ro RNP), in association with Ro60 and La proteins. The Y RNAs and Ro60 and La proteins are well conserved, but the function of the Ro RNP is not known.
Source: Ensembl